GAACUUGGCAGAGAUGCUUUGGUGCCUUCGGGAACUCUGAGACAGGUGCUGCAUGGCUGUCGUCAGCUCGUGUUGUGAAAUGUUGGGUUAAGUCCCGCAACGAGCGCAACCCUUAUCCUUUGUUGCCAGCGGUUAGGCCGGGAACUCAAAGGAGACUGCCAGUGAUAAACUGGAGGAAGGUGGGGAUGACGUCAAGUCAUCAUGGCCCUUACGAGUAGGGCUACACACGUGCUACAAUGGCGCAUACAAAGAGAAGCGACCUCGCGAGAGCAAGCGGACCUCAUAAAGUGCGUCGUAGUCCGGAUUGGAGUCUGCAACUCGACUCCAUGAAGUCGGAAUCGCUAGUAAUCGUGGAUCAGAAUGCCACGGUGAAUACGUUCCCGGGCCUUGUACACACCGCCCGUCACACCAUGGGAGUGGGUUGCAAAAGAAGUAGGUAGCUUAACCUUCGGGAGGGCGCUUACCACUUUGUGAUUCAUGACUGGGGUGAAGUCGUAACAAGGUAAGCGUAGUGCU
This 516-nucleotide ribosomal RNA is filed under the name uncultured bacterium. RNAcentral describes it as "bacterial SSU rRNA". It matches the Rfam family "Bacterial small subunit ribosomal RNA", at positions 993 to 1509 of the family's 1533-position model. The record is from RNAcentral.